CGAGUCGGCCGGGUGGUCGCGGCAGUCGUCGGCGAUGUCGAGCCGGAGGCUGUCGAGGAAGGUCGGGGCUCCACAGGGCAGGGUGCUGGCUAACGGCCAGUCGGGGUGACCCGCAGGACAGUGCAACAGAAAGCAGACCGCCGAUGGCCCGUCUCGACGGGCUCAGGCAAGGGUGAAACGGUGCGGUAAGAGCGCACCAGCGCUCGGGGUGACCCGGGCGGCUCGGCAAACCCCACCCGGAGCAAGGCCAAGCGUGGGACGGGCGGCCCGUCCGAUGUCCCCAGGUAGGCCGCGUAGAUGGAUGGCCACCCCCCGGCUUUGUCCGGGGACAGAACCCCGCCUACAGGCCGACUCGCCGC
Molecule: RNase P RNA, 359 nt
Filed under: Acidimicrobiales bacterium
Lineage: Bacteria; Bacillati; Actinomycetota; Acidimicrobiia; Acidimicrobiales
Description: RNase P RNA component class A
Rfam family: Bacterial RNase P class A
About the family: Ribonuclease P (RNase P) is a ubiquitous endoribonuclease, found in archaea, bacteria and eukarya as well as chloroplasts and mitochondria. Its best characterised activity is the generation of mature 5'-ends of tRNAs by cleaving the 5'-leader elements of precursor-tRNAs. Cellular RNase Ps are ribonucleoproteins.
Source: RNAcentral